This is a long non-coding RNA of Penaeus monodon (black tiger shrimp), 2150 nucleotides long. RefSeq lists it as uncharacterized. NCBI's taxonomy places the organism in Eukaryota, Metazoa, Arthropoda, Malacostraca, Decapoda, Penaeidae. The record is from RefSeq and is a predicted model, not a curated record. The transcript has 2 exons.
CACAAACUUUCCAUUUCUGGAAGGGAAUCCCGCAGAGCCCAGUCAGUUCCUCUCAAUGCGUAUCUUACUUACGUCACAUUACCCUGGUUCACUAUCAUUACAGAUAUUCUUGACCAUCGAACUGGCCCUAUCCUUACUUUCUAGCACGUAUAGAGGUCCAUCUUCAUCUGAGUCAAAUAUAGUUUAUAUGAGAAAUAUCUGACGUGAAAUAAAAACCUGUGCGUAUCAUUUAAUUUUCUUCAGCUAUACUAGAUAAUGGAAGUAAAGUUUGUUUACUUUGUGAUUUAGAUUUUCUUUUUUUCUUGAUGAAAGGAAAAUCAGGCUCAGGUUAUUCAUCUCAGAAACAAUCUUUCACAUAUAUCGUAAGAUUGCCUUGCCACAAGCCUCCAUUUUGUCAGCUAAGAAUGGUCACAAUUCAGGCUCUUGAUAAGUUGAAUGCUUUUUGCCAUAAGGAGAGGAGAAAAAGAAGCAGUCAUCGUCACCAGUAUUUCUCAUAAAAACCUCAGUUGGAAAUUAAAAAGCAAAUGAACUCAAACAAAAGGGAAAAGUGUUUUUGUAUGAUUCUAUGUUAUUAGUUUUAUAUAAUGUUUUUGGAAGGGUUAUUAGCUUGAAAUCUCCAGUAUUUUACAUGUACAUUUUAAGAUUUAUGUUAUUUUGGCAGCUCUGUGCUAUAUUUAAAACUGUGAUUAAUUUUUUAUGCUUGUGUGGAAAAAUGUGAUCUUUAAGAGGCUGACGAAAGCAAUAUAUGUUCUUUAUUUUGUACAGAGAAAGUUUAAUUUUUUGUAAGAGAAGUAAAGGUGUGGAGAGAUACGUAGUACCAAAAUACUGCAUCACAUGUAAAAGGAAAACUUGUUAGAAGAUUUGAAAUAAACAGAAGUGCAUAGAUGUAGCAGCAGAAUAAGUGUAAGUGUGUUGAACAGAAAUAGCUAAACUUUGUGUAUUGAAAAAUGGUCUUGAAAUGUAAGUGUUUGAUGCCAUCUGUAGAUUUUUAAUCCAAUAGGAGACAAAAGCAGGGAAUGAAACAAAGUGAUAUUUAAGUUAAGGGAAAACUCCUUGCUUAUCUGCAUUUUGUGAUGCAUUUGAGAAUGGCUGCCAGUAAACCCCUGCAUGCACCUCUAACAUUUAGGAACCAUUUCGGGCAUUACCGUGAUGCUAAUCUAUUUCCCAUAAAACCAAAGUUGAUUCAGAAUCUGAUUCUGUGCUCAUGUUCUAGUCAGUGGUAAGCUUUCCUUUGCCUUGUCUAUUUCGAGUUCUUUACCUUAUGAUAGAUUGUAGACAUGUAGUCUGUGAUUUUCUAGGUUAGAUUUUUAUUCUUUCAGAUCUCAGAAGUCAUUAUUUUUUUAGGUUUCCCUCUUUUAUAUUUUCUUUUACUCUGUUAAUUUAUAGAAUGUAAAGUUAGGAAGGCUAGAUGUUUUGAGAGACAAGAUUGGUAUUAGUGUAGAGGACCUCCCUUCUGCUAUAGAAGUCAGUUUUGUUUUAAGUGAAUAUUAUUUUUUGGGAUUGAGAUUUGUAAGUUAUCUUGUUUGCGUUUUGUAGUUUUGUUAUCGGGAAACCAACAGUUAACGUCCGAAUGUCAUCUAUUUUGUGAUCAUCCCAAACUUGAAUAAUAUAUAUACAGUAUGUAAAAGAUGUGCCAUAAUCUUAGGUGUUGUUUUGUCUAAUGCAACAGAAUAGGAAAAAAUGCAGGUUUCUCCUUAUCUUUUUUUUUAUUAUUUUUAUAUAUAUUUUUUUUCUUCUUCUUCUUCUUCCUCUUCUUCUUCUUCUUCCUCUUCUUCUUCUUUAAGGUGCUGGUUAUUAUGAACCAGACACACUAGCUAAAUGUGUACAAUGUAUCUGCCAAUGAGGGACCUCCUUUUUUCUAGAACUUUACAUGUGUGGCUGGAUAUCCAUCUAACUUUUUUCCUCAGAUGAACUUCUCUCUCACACUUUGUAUUUCAUUUUAUAUAUUUCUCGAGGAAAUAACAAAAAAAAAAAAAAAAAUGUAAAGCGAAAAUAAUAUUUUAAAAAUCUCACUGGCUUCCUUUUGAAGUCAUGAGAGGUGUCUUUCCUCCAUCACAGGAAGAUGUUGAAUUUUCUGUGCUGUGGGUGGAAUAGUUUUCAGAUAGGUGUUGAAAGUAUUGUUCUUCAAAGAUCUUGGUAUGAAAAUUAAA